RNAcentral lists this transfer RNA (82 nucleotides) under Imasa heleensis. Its description in RNAcentral is "tRNA-Leu". It matches the Rfam family "tRNA". Rfam says of the family: Transfer RNA (tRNA) molecules are approximately 80 nucleotides in length. Their secondary structure includes four short double-helical elements and three loops (D, anti-codon, and T loops). The record is from RNAcentral. Lineage: Eukaryota; Malawimonada; Malawimonadea; Malawimonadida; Imasidae.
GCCCAUUUGGUGGAAUGGUAGACACGGCAGACUUAAAAUCUUCUUCCUAUUAGGAAUAUCGGUUCAAGUCCGAUAAUGGGUA